GACGAACGCUGGCGGCGUGCUUAACACAUGCAAGUCGAACGGAAAGGCCCUGCUUGCAGGGUGCUCGAGUGGCGAACGGGUGAGUAACACGUGGGUGAUCUGCCCCUUACUUUGGGAUAAGCCUGGGAAACUGGGUCUAAUACUGGAUAGGACCAUGCUGUAGGUGGUGUGGUGGAAAGAUUAGCUUCGGUAAGGGAUGAGCUCGCGGCCUAUCAGCUUGUUGGUGGGGUAAUGGCCUACCAAGGCGUCGACGGGUAGCCGGCCUGAGAGGGUGGACGGCCACAUUGGGACUGAGAUAAGGCCCAGACUCCUACGGGAGGCAGCAGUGGGGAAUAUUGCACAAUGGGCGCAAGCCUGAUGCAGCGACGCCGCGUGGGGGAUGACGGCCUUCGGGUUGUAAACUCCUUUCAGCCAUGACGAAGCCCUUGUGGUGACGGUAGUGGUAGAAGAAGCACCGGCUAACUACGUG
This 469-nucleotide ribosomal RNA is filed under the name uncultured bacterium. Its description in RNAcentral is "partial 16S ribosomal RNA". It matches the Rfam family "Bacterial small subunit ribosomal RNA", at positions 28 to 507 of the family's 1533-position model. The record is from RNAcentral.